Molecule: unclassified non-coding RNA, 174 nt
Filed under: uncultured Penicillium
Lineage: Eukaryota; Fungi; Ascomycota; Eurotiomycetes; Eurotiales; Aspergillaceae
Description: sequence contains ITS1
Source: RNAcentral
CUGAGUGCGGGCCCUCUGGGUCCAACCUCCCACCCGUGUUUAUCGUACCUUGUUGCUUCGGCGGGCCCGCCAUCACGGCCGCCGGGGGGCAUCCGCCCCCGGGCCCGCGCCCGCCGAAGACACCAUUGAACGCUGUCUGAAGAUUGCAGUCUGAGCGAAAAGCAAAAUUAGUUA